AUUUCAUAUUUAGCAAACGAUGACAAAAAUACCGUUGAUUGCUGUUUUUUCGGUUUGGCUCUUUGUUGUUUAUGGCCAAAUACCCUUCAAUAACUUUGACCCUUAUCACGCCUAUUACAUUCCCCACACUUCAACGUUUACCAAUCAACCCAUUAAACAAGUUAAUGAUGAAACGGAAGCUCAGUCUGGCGAAACUGGUGAAUUCAAAAAUAAUCCGAGCAAUAGGAAACUUAUCUAUCAGGGUGUCAUUUUUUUUCAAAAUAAAACAACUUGAAGCAACGACUGCUAGUUUAGCAAGGCAACUGAAAGCGAUGCAAACAGCUUUAGACGAUAGGGCCGACAAAACUGCAUUGGCCGAAAAGGCCGACAAAACCGCGGUGGACUUAAAGGCCGACAAAACAGAGGUGGACUUAAA
Long non-coding RNA from Daphnia pulicaria, 415 nucleotides. RefSeq lists it as uncharacterized. NCBI's taxonomy places the organism in Eukaryota, Metazoa, Arthropoda, Branchiopoda, Diplostraca, Daphniidae. The record is from RefSeq and is a predicted model, not a curated record. The transcript is spliced from 3 exons.